GUGGUUUUCUUUUCCCCCUUCUUUGUGAGCUCUGUCUUGACUUUGAUUUCUUGUCCCCUUCUGUAGAAUUAAGACCACCUCUGGGCACAGCUGUGAAGCAGAGGAAGGAAAGAUAAGGAAAGAAGAAAGAAAAGAGAUUGAGAGGACUUGCCAGGUGCCAGUACUGAGACAAAUCAACAGAAAGACUAGAGCAGUAUCUAUAGGUGUGCCUCAAGAACUCCAGGCCUCAAGAACUCCAGGACUGUAAGCUGUAUAAAGGUAUUAAGCAGGAUGUUCAUGAUGUUUAAUUUACUGAUAUACAUUUUGAGUUUCUAAGA
Molecule: long non-coding RNA, 317 nt
Filed under: Mustela putorius furo (domestic ferret)
Lineage: Eukaryota; Metazoa; Chordata; Mammalia; Carnivora; Mustelidae
Description: lncRNA (ENSMPUG00000030797.1)
Source: RNAcentral